UCUUAUGGUGUUGCAAGCCCCUUCAGCUC
RNAcentral lists this non-coding RNA (29 nucleotides) under Rattus norvegicus (Norway rat). The record is from RNAcentral. Lineage: Eukaryota; Metazoa; Chordata; Mammalia; Rodentia; Muridae.